GUCCAUGGUCAUUAAAUCAAGAGGUAUGGGUAUGUCCAUAUGUUCACAAUAAUGAUUUCGGAAACAAGUUUCGAAUAACUGGAAUAAAGUUCUUCAAUGGGGACACUCAGCUUGGCAGCGAAAGGUUACACAGGAUCGGCACUCGUCCUCCGCCAUUUGACACAUUUAGAAUUUCCUUAGUAUUUGACGUGAAUAGAAAAUCCUAAUUUGUCGUAAUUUGAAUUGUCGAUUAUACAUGUGGUUGUUUUGUUGGUGUGUUUCGUUUUUGUUAACUCUAUAGUCCGUCGGAAAUGAAUAACAGUAUUUUACAAUCCAAACAAUUGAGGCCCGUUUUACUGAGAUGAUAGAGGUUCCGUACUGGAAAGUUAUUGUAAAUCAAUACACGAGACUGGAUACAUGAACGUUCACAUACUUUAUUUUUCCAUCUAACAUAUAUACAAGCACAGUUCAUAAAGCAUAUUUACAAAACAGGAAGCAUGGCAACAUAUAUUAACCCGCCGCUGCUCGUAGAUCGAGAGCGGGGCGAACCGGUGCGUCACAUGGUUCUAUCUACUUCUCUCCCUUUUUCGUUUAAAAGU
Molecule: long non-coding RNA, 578 nt
Filed under: Mytilus galloprovincialis (Mediterranean mussel)
Lineage: Eukaryota; Metazoa; Mollusca; Bivalvia; Mytilida; Mytilidae
Source: RNAcentral